This 1066-nucleotide long non-coding RNA is filed under the name Homo sapiens (human). RNAcentral's name for it is "HSALNT0183023". The record is from RNAcentral. Lineage: Eukaryota; Metazoa; Chordata; Mammalia; Primates; Hominidae.
CCUGCCUCUCCUUGCAUAGAUGUCAGAAGUAACACUUCAGGCGGGGGCGUCUGAGGUUCGCGUGUGAGGGAAUCAGGUGCAUUGCACAGUCAUCUCCUGCUCAAGACAGAGGAGGGCGCUCAGGGGCCAAUCAAACGACUUCUAAACCGCGAAAACAGGCCUGGGGCAAAAGAGUCCGUAGAUACCGCAGUCAAGGGGCGAUUCACUCCAUUUACUGACACAAUAGACAUGGAGUGCCUCCCAUGGACACAGGGAAUGAAGGGAUAGACAGAUGUCCUAUCUUUGGGAAUGCUGGCCUUCCAAGGAGAGAGUUGUCCACUGGGGAAAACGCCUGGGCAAUUCCCUGCAGUGUGGCAGGUGUGAAGGUGGAGUGGGACCUGGCUCACUUUUGUAGAUCCCUUCAAAGCUGGAGAUUGGUGCCUUCCGGGAUUCUGCCAUUGAAGGAAGGAAAAAGGAUGAAGCGAUUACAACCUGGGCGCAGUAUACUGGCUGGCUUUGCUGCUCACUCCCUUACGAAUAGCUGUGAUGGGAUAUGAAAUCCAAGGGAACUGUUAGCCCCCCAGAGCAGCUGCUCCCACCGACCCUGCUCCAAGAGUGCUGGGAUGUCCGCUGGCCUCGAGGCAAGACAAGAGCUCCAAUCACUCUGCUGCAAGCGCCACCAUUAAAGUCAAGAUCACUGUGGUGGGGGGAGUUGAAGUGUGCAUUCCAGCAUGCUCAUGAUCUUACUGACCUUCUCCACUGAUGAAUUAGAACACCCCUCUUCCCAGGCACAGGACGAGUUCAGUGCCUCUCUGUUUCUUGAUGGACCCCAAUAAAAAAACGCCUGCACUGUUUUUCACCUAAGGUCAUCUCGACAAUUUACAAGGAUAAGGAUUGUAGCUGCAAAAUAAUGCCUAUGCCCCUCUAGCCCCCUUAGCAUCCCCCAUCUAUAUCAAGACCAUAAAACCAGUGCUUUUGGCCCUCCUCCUCACUCCUCCAGUAUGGGCAAUUUUCUUUUCCUCAUCCAUGUUUCCAAAACAGUUUAUCUUUUUAUCUCCUUGGAAGAAAAGUACUCCACAAAUCAAAG